CAGCAGCCGCGGGAAUACAGAGGGUGCGAGCGUUAAUCGGAUUUACUGGGCGUAAAGCGUGCGUAGGCGGCUUCUUAAGUCGGAUGUGAAAUCCCUGAGCUUAACUUAGGAAUUGCAUUCGAUACUGGGAAGCUAGAGUAUGGGAGAGGAUGGUAGAAUUCCAGGUGUAGCGGUGAAAUGCGUAGAGAUCUGGAGGAAUACCGAUGGCGAAGGCAGCCAUCUGGCCUAAUACUGACGCUGAGGUACGAAAGCAUGGGGAGCAAACAGGAUUAGAGACCCGUGUAGUCCCUGUCUCUUAUAC
RNAcentral lists this ribosomal RNA (301 nucleotides) under uncultured bacterium. Its description in RNAcentral is "partial 16S ribosomal RNA". It matches the Rfam family "Bacterial small subunit ribosomal RNA", at positions 509 to 807 of the family's 1533-position model. The record is from RNAcentral.